CGGUAGUUGCGUGUCUUCUUCGAAAGACCCUGUUCCUUCUACGAAUUGCUCGUAGGUAGACUUUUCUGGGAAAGGUCGUGGACCAAGCAGUUCGAUCAUGUCGUUCCGACUCAAGAUUUCUUGUUUGAGAAGACGCUCUGCUACCUAAAAGAGUCGGCCAUACUUGCAAACAAAUUGUCCGAUACGAUGGCGCGGUGCUCGCUAGUCUUCGGCAGGGGUCUCUACUCACCACCAGCGGUGGGGGCUUGACAUGAAGCAAUAGAUUCCUCCAAUAUUUGAAUUCGUUGCGAAAAAUGAUUUGGAUUCCUGAGACCAAAAUACAUAGGAUUAUCAUGGAAAACUCCAUGAAAAAAAUUCGGAAUCAUCAUCUCAAAUUUUGAGAAAACUCCAAGGCUAUAGGCUUACCGUUUUUUUGGGCUAAAAGGUGAAAUAUUUGCCAGAACAAUUCCAGGACGCUUAUCUGAUGUAAAAAUGCACAACGAACACGAAGCCGUCCAUCAAAUUGAGCUGGCAUCCAAUCCCAACGGAGGGCCUUGAGGCAUCGAGAUCACUGAGUCAACGGUGGCACCACACCCGCAUAGAAAAUACAAGACUAUCCUCGAUGCAUUUACACCACUGGACUUUACAAUAUCCUGUAGUUUGGUGAUCUAUACUUCCAAUUAUUAUGUGUUUCGAGUGAAUAAUUACGUAGAAAUGAACGAUAAUGUAUACCUCUUGUAUCUUAGAGAAUAAGAAAUGAAUAAUUGAAUAUUAAUUGAAAUGAAACUAUCGUCCAUACUCUUGUAACGCAUUGAUCAUAAGUAUACAAAAAUGAAUUUAUAUUGUUCAUUGCAAAGUCUCAAUAUGUAUUCUUGACGAUUGAUUUAUUAAUAAAAACUCUCUGUAACUAAUA
Molecule: long non-coding RNA, 892 nt
Organism: Athalia rosae (coleseed sawfly)
Lineage: Eukaryota; Metazoa; Arthropoda; Insecta; Hymenoptera; Athaliidae
Exons: 4
Source: RefSeq, a predicted model, not a curated record